GACAGAGGGUGCAACCGUUGUUCGGAAUUACUGGGCGUAAAGCGUGUGUAGGCGGCCAAGCAAGUCGGAUGUGAAAGCCCAGGGCUCAACCCUGGAAGUGCACUCGAUACUGCCUGGCUUGAGUAUCGGAGAGGUUGGUGGAAUUCUCGGUGUAGAGGUGAAAUUCGUAGAUAUCGAGAGGAACACCGGUGGCGAAGGCGACCAACUGGACGAAUACUGACGCUGAGACACGAAAGCGUGGGGAGCAAACAGG
Molecule: ribosomal RNA, 253 nt
Filed under: uncultured bacterium
Lineage: Bacteria
Description: partial 16S ribosomal RNA
Rfam family: Bacterial small subunit ribosomal RNA
Source: RNAcentral